This 79-nucleotide transfer RNA is filed under the name Thermofilum adornatum. RNAcentral describes it as "tRNA-Met". It matches the Rfam family "tRNA". Rfam says of the family: Transfer RNA (tRNA) molecules are approximately 80 nucleotides in length. Their secondary structure includes four short double-helical elements and three loops (D, anti-codon, and T loops). Lineage: Archaea; Thermoproteati; Thermoproteota; Thermoprotei; Thermofilales; Thermofilaceae. The record is from RNAcentral.
GCCGAGGUAGCCCAGCCUGGUCUAAGGCGCCGGACUCAUAAUCCGGUAUUCCCGGGUUCAAAUCCCGGCCUCGGCACCA